This 1035-nucleotide long non-coding RNA is filed under the name Sus scrofa (pig). RNAcentral describes it as "lncRNA (ENSSSCG00070006418.1)". Lineage: Eukaryota; Metazoa; Chordata; Mammalia; Artiodactyla; Suidae. The record is from RNAcentral.
AUGUGGCUCGGGCCCAAUGGCUGUUAUAUCCCUAAAGACCAAGCUGUCAGAGGAACCUGUGACAGACUCAUCUGUAAAAUAACAGUGACGAUGAGGAGAAAAAGGCCAGCACCUCCAAAUAAAGCACACACAGCACACACACACACACACACACACACACGCACGCACGUACGUGCACAUGCACGCGCGCACACACGCGCGCACACACACGCAAAGCUACCUACGUCCUCGUUUCUCCUUUUAACUUUUACAAUGAUUUCUUUCUUUGUUUUAGGGCUCCCUGCGGUGGAGCCGACUGGCGAGGUUGGGAGCACCUCUGCUGUACAACCAAGUGGUUCAGUUAUACGUACAUCCCUUCUCUUUGGGGACGGCAGCCCAUGCCGCACACUGAGCAACAGGCUCCGCUGUAGGAGGUCUGGUUCUUUUAGUCAUUCCGUUGUCGUCAGAGAGACGGGACCCUGCCAGGGGUGCAUGGCCACUCACGGCGUGGGACUGACCCCGUCCGCUGCCUCUCGGCGGCAUCAGACUCUGGGUGGUCUCACCUGGUUGGGGGUGGCCCAGCUGGACAGGGGGCUUGAAGAGGAGGAAGCAGGACCCACAGGAGAGAUGGGCCAGGGGCGCGUCCCUCUCUGCAGGCUGAGCCACUCCGUCCACAACAUGCGAGGGCGCCUGGGUCCCAGUCACCCCGUCACACCUGCCGGGAGCGGCAAGCUUCCCCGCAAGUUGCUCGGACCAGACCCACAGUCUUGGCUGUUAGCAAGCACGCACAUUCCUGUCAAGGGAAACAAGAUUUACUUCUCGCUGAAAUAUCUGCGGGAGAACAAAGUGCACAUCAUUAUUCCAGGCUUCACCCCCUCCCUCUGCUUUGCUUCACACACACACACACACACACCACAUACAAAUGAGUCAUACGUCAGGCUUUCUGAAAGUCAAAGACGAGAAAAUAAACAGAUGCCUCAGAGGAGAGGGAAGACUGGUGUUGUUUUAAUCAAAACCGUGAAGACAAAGAAAGGAACGGAAAACUCAGAGAUUUAA